GACGAACGCUGGCGGCGUGCUUAACACAUGCAAGUCGAACGAAAAGACCCUGCUCUUGUGGGGUGCACGAGUGGCGAACGGGUGAGUAUCACGUGAGUAACAUGCACUUGACUUUGGGAUAACUUCAGGAAAAAGGGGCUAAUAUCGCAUAGGAGCUCCUGCUGCACGGGGGGCAUUGGAGAGAUUCGGCGGUUGGGUAUGGACUCGCGGGUUAUCAGCUUGUUUGUGGAGUAGUGGAUUACCAAGGCUUUGACGGGUAGCCGGCCUUGGAGGGGGACCGGCCACAAGAGUACUGAGAGACGGCGCAGACUGCAACGGGAGGCAACAGUGGAGAAUAUGGCACAGUGGGCGGGAGCCUGAUGUAGCGACGCUGCGUGCGGGAUACCGUGCUACGGGUUGAGAACCGCUGUCGCAGGAGCUAAGGCGGGAGUGACGGUAACUAGUAAAGAAGCACCGGCUAACUACGUG
This 468-nucleotide ribosomal RNA is filed under the name uncultured bacterium. RNAcentral describes it as "partial 16S ribosomal RNA". It matches the Rfam family "Bacterial small subunit ribosomal RNA", at positions 28 to 507 of the family's 1533-position model. The record is from RNAcentral.